Saccostrea cuccullata (small rock oyster) is the source of this 329-nucleotide long non-coding RNA. RefSeq lists it as uncharacterized. The transcript is spliced from 3 exons. The record is from RefSeq and is a predicted model, not a curated record. NCBI's taxonomy places the organism in Eukaryota, Metazoa, Mollusca, Bivalvia, Ostreida, Ostreidae.
AAUAUAAUUUUUCAAUCUUCCUUUCGAUAUGAAUAUAAAUAUUGAUAUUGCAGAGUACCUGAGGGGAAAAGGAAGGCUGUGCUUAACAAAGUAAAUCAGAAAGAUGGGAAAGCUACACCAACGCCGAAAAGGUCUGCAAAUAAAGAUGCAACAAAAGUUGAAGAUAAGAAUCCAUCUAGAGAUUCUACCUCAUUAGAAUCCAACGACUGGAGAACGAAAUUUGAAGAGAAGGCUGAAGAGAUUAACUGUCUUAAUGGGCAGGUGAAGUUUCUUGCCCAAGAGUUAGGUUUAGAAGGAGAAGCAUCAGAAAAGAUACUUACAGAGGCAGC